CCUACGGGAGGCAGCAGUGGGGAAUUUUGGACAAUGGGCGCAAGCCUGAUCCAGCAAUGCCGCGUGCAGGAUGAAGGCCUUCGGGUUGUAAACUGCUUUUGCACGGAACGAAACGGCUCCUAUUAAUACUGGGGGCUAAUGACGGUACCGUAAGAAUAAGCACCGGCUAACUACGUGCCAGCAGCCGCGGUAAUACGUAGGGUGCGAGCGUUAAUCGGAAUUACUGGGCGUAAAGCGUGCGCAGGCGGUUAUAUAAGACAGAUGUGAAAUCCCCGGGCUCAACCUGGGACCUGCAUUUGUGACUGUAUAGCUAGAGUACGGUAGAGGGGGAUGGAAUUCCGCGUGUAGCAGUGAAAUGCGUAGAUAUGCGGAGGAACACCGAUGGCGAAGGCAAUCCCCUGGACCUGUACUGACGCUCAUGCACGAAAGCGUGGGGAGCAAACAGGAUUAGAUACCCUGGUAGUCCACGCCCUAAACGAUGUCAACUGGUUGUUGGGUCUUCACUGACUCAGUAACGAAGCUAACGCGUGAAGUUGACCGCCUGGGGAGUACGGCCGCAGGUUGAACGUCGAAAGGAAUUGACGG
Molecule: ribosomal RNA, 585 nt
Filed under: uncultured bacterium
Lineage: Bacteria
Description: bacterial SSU rRNA
Rfam family: Bacterial small subunit ribosomal RNA
Source: RNAcentral